GGAGAGAUGCAAGAGUGGCUUAAUUGGCACGCCUGGAAAGCGUGUGUACCUGCAAGGGUACCGUGGGUUCGAAUCCCACUCUCUCCG
This 87-nucleotide transfer RNA is filed under the name Ignavibacteria bacterium. RNAcentral describes it as "tRNA-Ser". It matches the Rfam family "tRNA". From Rfam's summary of the family: Transfer RNA (tRNA) molecules are approximately 80 nucleotides in length. Their secondary structure includes four short double-helical elements and three loops (D, anti-codon, and T loops). The record is from RNAcentral. RNAcentral also lists the same sequence under 1 other name. Lineage: Bacteria; Pseudomonadati; Ignavibacteriota; Ignavibacteria.